RNAcentral lists this transfer RNA (72 nucleotides) under Bos taurus (domestic cattle). It matches the Rfam family "tRNA". Rfam says of the family: Transfer RNA (tRNA) molecules are approximately 80 nucleotides in length. Their secondary structure includes four short double-helical elements and three loops (D, anti-codon, and T loops). Lineage: Eukaryota; Metazoa; Chordata; Mammalia; Artiodactyla; Bovidae. RNAcentral also lists the same sequence under 2 other names. The record is from Rfam by way of RNAcentral.
UCCCUUGUGGCUCAGACGGUAAAGCGUCUGCCUACAAUGCAGAAGACCCAGGUUCGAUCCCUGGGUUGGGAA